GGUCGCAUAGUCUAGUGGUUAUGAUAUCUGCUUUACACGCAGAGGGUCUCAGGUUCGAUCCCUGAUGCGACCA
RNAcentral lists this transfer RNA (73 nucleotides) under Rhizoctonia solani AG-1 IA. Its description in RNAcentral is "tRNA-Val (TAC) (tRNA-Val-TAC-1-1)". It matches the Rfam family "tRNA". Rfam says of the family: Transfer RNA (tRNA) molecules are approximately 80 nucleotides in length. Their secondary structure includes four short double-helical elements and three loops (D, anti-codon, and T loops). The record is from RNAcentral. RNAcentral also lists the same sequence under 1 other name. Lineage: Eukaryota; Fungi; Basidiomycota; Agaricomycetes; Cantharellales; Ceratobasidiaceae.